This 600-nucleotide small RNA is filed under the name Alternaria alternata. RNAcentral's name for it is "eukaryotic LSU rRNA". The stretch from base 230 to 383 matches the Rfam family "5.8S ribosomal RNA". The record is from RNAcentral. Lineage: Eukaryota; Fungi; Ascomycota; Dothideomycetes; Pleosporales; Pleosporaceae.
GUCCCCAUUGAGGAAGUAAAAGUCGUAACAAGGUCUCCGUAGGUGACCUGCGGAGGGAUCAUUACACAAAUAUGAAGGCGGGCUGGAACCUCUCGGGGUUACAGCCUUGCUGAAUUAUUCACCCUUGUCUUUUGCGUACUUCUUGUUUCCUUGGUGGGUUCGCCCACCACUAGGACAAACAUAAACCUUUUGUAAUUGCAAUCAGCGUCAGUAACAAAUUAAUAAUUACAACUUUCAACAACGGAUCUCUUGGUUCUGGCAUCGAUGAAGAACGCAGCGAAAUGCGAUAAGUAGUGUGAAUUGCAGAAUUCAGUGAAUCAUCGAAUCUUUGAACGCACAUUGCGCCCUUUGGUAUUCCAAAGGGCAUGCCUGUUCGAGCGUCAUUUGUACCCUCAAGCUUUGCUUGGUGUUGGGCGUCUUGUCUCUAGCUUUGCUGGAGACUCGCCUUAAAGUAAUUGGCAGCCGGCCUACUGGUUUCGGAGCGCAGCACAAGUCGCACUCUCUAUCAGCAAAGGUCUAGCAUCCAUUAAGCCUUUUUUUUCAACUUUUGACCUCGGAUCAGGUAGGGAUACCCGCUGAACUUAAGCAUAUCAAAGCCGG